Molecule: long non-coding RNA, 5940 nt
Filed under: Sus scrofa (pig)
Lineage: Eukaryota; Metazoa; Chordata; Mammalia; Artiodactyla; Suidae
Description: lncRNA (ENSSSCG00000058377.1)
Source: RNAcentral
CAGCUAGAUGAGUGCUGGAGUGGCUAUUUAGAUCAGUUCUGCUCUAGAUAACGGGGUGGUGAGAUAUGAAAAGAAAUGAAAAGGAUUUCAGUUAUUUAGCCUGGCAUUGCCCAGUAGAGGAAUCACCUGGGGUUUUAGGCUGAGGAUGGCACUAGUAAUAAAAAGGAGAUGCUCUUUUCUCUAGAGCAUCCUUCAUAUAGGCAUGCGUUCCUGAGAGACUAGAGUCUCUGUCAAGGUAAAUAUCUCAUCAAGACCUAAAUCUCUACCUAUCAUUUCUCAGAAGACCUAUAUUACACUUAGCUCAAAUAGCUUAAGUUUUAAAAGGGGAAAUAAGAUGUGCACUCCCAUAAUGACUGAUCGUGCUAAUUAUACCUAAUUGGAAUCUUAGUAAAUAUUACCUUACAUUUGUUUCCUUUACCAGUUUGAAAUAUUAAGAUCAGGAACUAUUAUUUCUUCAUUUUUCUAUUCCCAGUACAGAGUAUCAUAGGUGCCCUGUUGCUUAAAAUUUUUUUUGAAUGAAUUAAAAAAAUAAUUGGUAGGUAUUUGUGUGUUGAAUGUUUAUGUCCCCCCCCCACUAUAUGUUGAAGCCCUAAACUCCAAUGUGGCUGUAUUUGUAGAUAAGGCCCUGAAAUAGUAAUUAAGGAUAAAUGAGAUCAUAAGGGUGGGGCCCUGAUCUGAUAGGAUUUGUGCUUUAGAAGAAAAGACACUAGAGAGCUUGCUGUCUCUUGCACACACUCACAAAAGGAAAGUGACUUGUGGGGACACAGUGAGAAGACCACUGUCUGUAAACCAGGAAGAGCACUCUCAAAGAAAUGGAAUCAGCUAGAACAUUGAUCUUUGACUUCUAAUCCGUGAGAAAAACAUUCUGUCGUUUAUGUAUCCAGUCUAUAUUGCAUUUUGUUACAGCAGCCUGAGAUGACUAAUAAAGUAGUCUUACCAAAGUGCAGAAAAUUCUACAACAUUUAAAAGGAUAAAGACAUCCAUUUUGGCUGAGGGAAGGUGGAUCAUGUCACUGAGGACGUGGCAUCAGAGAACCUUGUAACAUAACAGAUACUUUUUCCCGUAAGUGGGAGCAUGAUGAACAAAGCAGAUAGAGGUGAAAGGACAGGCCAUCAGAGGACAACAAGGAGAUGCCUUGUCUGAAAAAUAGGGUUUGAGGAAUACUAGAGGAUAAUUUUACAUCCAGUUAGGGCCUUUGCAUUUAUUUUAUACACGGCAUAGAAUGAUCAAAAUUUGAACAGAGCUACUAGCAUGGCCAGAGAAAUGCUUUGAGAGGGACUGUUUUCACGUUCAGGUUUCCUGUCUGAUAGUAGGCAUGACUUCACCAUUGAUGCUCCUAAAGGGUAAUCCUAUCUUGUACGUAGUACAUCAGCCCCUGAGGUCAUAUGUGAUGAUCACUUAGCUGCAGGGGAGACAUUACUUACAUUACCCCUAAUAUGAAGGUUAGUUUGAGCAACUUAUCUGCCCAGGGUCACAAGGAAUCCACUGCAGGAUAAAACAGUAGCUCAGCAACCUCCUUAAAUUUACUGCAGGAUUUAUUUCCAAUUCCUUUGUAAUCUCUUCCUUAAAGCAGUAAAUUCUGAGCUCACAGGGCUUUGCAUUUAAUUCCAGUAUUUGGAUCGUGAGAGCUUUUAAUACCUGUGGACUUGGCAGUUGCAGAGAGUCAAAUGCAUCCCCAUUAAUCAGAACUGGACUUAGUCAUGUUACACAAACCAUAGAUCUCUACAAGAAAAUUAAAAGGCAAUAUCAUUUCACUUCUGCUAAAUGUUUUCUUAUGAUUCAGAGGAAGAAAUGGGACACUCUAUAUUGUGUCCAGUGACGCUGCCAAAAAUAUAUCACCAAGAGACACGACAAAUGAAUGUAUAAAUAGGAAUUGCUCAGAAGGGGUUAGUCAUAAAUCACUAAAUGAGCCAGAACCCAUGCUUCUUUUUUUGUGUUGCUUAAAACGUGAAACAUUGCUGGUGACUUCUAGAAAAACAAUUUGAUUUUUGUACAGUAUUAGAAGGGGGUGGGAAAUAGGGAAGUACAAUUUCCCUAGGUGAAGUCAAAGGCAAAAUACAACAUUCUUCUGGUGACUCUAGGAGCUCAUAAGCUAUUUUGAAAAAUGGAAUGGAGUUUGUUAAAUCACAGCAAUAGUGUGGUUUCUACAAUCAUGAGUUUUCAUCUUGAACAUUUAGAAAUCUGGGAUACGGUGAUGGGCUGGAUUUGGGUCAAAAAUGCACUAUAAAAAUUGGAUUGAGGCAGCAGCAACAAUUAUGGGACUUAUCUGCUGGGGUCUUGUAACUCCUUCUUAAUACUUACUCCUAGAAAACGUUUCUUCAUAUUUUAAAAGAAACUGCUUUCUGAUGUCCUGAGUUACAGUCCAAACAGUGUUUUUUUUCUUAGGGGGGAAAAAGAAACCACGUUUCUGUUUGUUCUAAAGAUAUUAAAGUAGAAACAAGGAAGCUAUCGCUAAAAACAGUAAGACCUUCACAGAAAUGCUAAGCAUUUUCAUAAAAAUGCAGAAGUUAAUGCUAAAUGGAUGUUAAAAUUUUUCUUACAUAUACAAUUCCUAUGACAUCAGUUAUCUUUUUGGUUAAAGGUAGUACUCAUCUUUUUGCUUGGGAGCACAGUGGUUGAGACUGCUACUUUUGUUCUCACAAAUCCUCUAAAGAGGCUCAGAGGGUCCUUAAUUUGUUCAAGCAUCAAGCCCAAUACAAAAUCCUUUAGAAGACAGAAGGUAGUGGAGAUGUUGAAGGCAUUGAUAUGAUUCCCAAAGUGAUAUAACUUCUCAAUGGCCUGAUUUUGAGUUAACAUUUUUCCUGUAUAAAAGCUAUUCUGAAACUUGGUGGCGUAAAACACUUAUCAUUCACUAACUCAUGAUUCUGUGAGGUUGGCAUUUGGUCUGAGCUCAGUGGGGUGGUUCUUUUGUGGGUCCCAUCUAGACUCACGUAUGUGGCUGUGGUCAGCUGGAGGGCUGGUUAUAGUUAGCUUGCUGGUCCCACAUAUCUGGAGUUUGGCUGGCGUAAUAGAGGCAACUGGACCACAUGUUUCUAACAUCUUGUAAGCUAGCUCUGGCUUCUUCCUAUGGUGGCUGGGUUCCAAAAACACCAAUGAGGUAAAUUUCAGUGUGCGAUCACCUUCAAAGCUUCUCUUUCAUCAUGUUUGCCAAGAUCCCAUUGGUCAAAGCAGAUUCAAAGGAUAGAAAAGUGGCCUCCAACCCCAGUAUUAUUUGGCUUUUCCUCUUUAUAGGUUUGCUGAAAAUAAUAUUAGAAAUCUUACCUCCUGAGCUCUUGAAGAAAGAAGCUGCAGCAUAUUAUGGCUGUGUGUGUGUGUGUUGGUCAAUCUAUCUUAUCCAACCUUUUCUCUUAUGAUAUAAUCCCAGUGGUAGAUAGGUAUCCUAGCUCUACUACUUGCUGUAUGAUUUUGGGAAAUGUUCUUACCCUCUUCACUCCCCAGUUUGCUCAUUGACUCAAGGGACUAAGAAUAGUAUGUAUCUCAUAGGUAUAUUUUAAGAAUUGAAUGAGUUAACAAUUGUAAAGCUUGGAAAAAUGCCUGGAACACAGUGUACACUCAGUAAAUAUUAGCUGUUACCUGUUUUGGUCCUAUACCUCUGUACCUCUGUAUUAGUCUUUUUUUUUUUUAAUUGCUGAUGUAACAAAUUGACUCUGUGGCUUAAAACAGCUCCUUUAUUAUGUUACAGUUCUUGAGGUUACCAGGUAAUCUCUGGGUUUCACUGGGCUAAAAUCAACAUGUCAGCAGGACUCUGUUAACAUGUUUGCUUGUCUUUUUUAGCUUCUAGAGAUUGCAUCCAUUCUUUGGCUCAUUAGGCCUUCUUUCAAUGCCUUUAUUGGUUGGUUAUGUUUUUCUCAAAUAACAUCACUCUGACUUCUGCUUCUGUUAUCAAAUAUUUUCUGACUUUACUCUCCUCUGCCCUCUUUCUCUUAUAAGGACCCUUACCUGGGGCUCAAGCAGGAUAAUCUCCCCAUCUCAACAUCCUUAAUUUAAUAACAUCUUCAAAGUCCCCUUUUCCAUGUAAGGUAACAUAGGCACAGGCUCUGUGGGAAUCUUUGGUGGACCUUUAUUCUGUCUGUCCCAGUAUUCCCCCUUCUGGACUUGGAUCAUUCAUCCAUGAAGAAAAAGAUGCUGGGAAGGCUUUGCUCAGUCAUAGCUGUUUAGGAAAUUUUUCUGGUAUGAAUGAAGAAAUUCUUUGAGAACUGAGAUUAUCUUUGAGAUUGAGAGUACUUUUUUCCAUCCUAAACUACCAAGAGGGAGAAUGGAUAUUUUGAGUUAUGAGAGAAAAAUGGCUACCAUACCACCUAUCACUUAGAGGUGUGUGAUGGAGAAAUUGCCAUAUAUUCACAAAACUUAUUUAUUUCCUCUUUGGCAUUUAGCUUUAAUAUCCCUGUUGCCUCCAUGUGUGAUCAUGAGACAAAUUCUCAUGAAUGAAAUGAAAAUGGCAGUGAUCAUUGUCACAUCUGAGGUGAGGCAGUUAAGAAAAACUGUGCCUUCUCAUGGUAGCUUCUUUGUUGGGUGCCUACACAUAGUAGGUUCAUUAGAGGGCUCUGAGGCUCUCAUGGUCAGGAUACAAAAUAAAAGGAUCCUGGGUGACUGUGCGGCCCAAAGCCCCAUCUUCCUGUUGUUAAGGCACAAGGGUUGCUUCCUUUUGGCUCCCAUGACUAGUACGAGUAGUUACCCAGACACUGGUCUGCAGAAAGACUCUCCAUUCUCAUACCUGAAGCCUCAGUGGGCAGGGACAUAUUUUGUGCUUUAUAUUGACCUUAUUCAUUUCCUUCUCACUCCUGGACUACAAGCAGAAACUUUAGAUACAUCAUUAAACUAUAAUAUAAUUUGAAUUAGGAAAUACUAAAAAAGGGGGUAGUAUUCAUCUUAUCAUGUUUCUGGCCAGCCUGAUCUUCACUAUAUUUAAAGAGCCAGAAAAUCUGUUAAUAACCUUCUCAUCUUGUCUCCUUACUGAACAUAUGAGGAAAUUUAGGCCCAUAAAGUUUCAGUGAUUUCUAAAUUUCAUAUUGAAACUCAGCAGAAGACCUGGGGCCUGAAUCAAAUAGAGCACUGAGCUCAGCACUCAGCAUAGUGCCUGGUGUGCCAGGAGAUUUGUGAGCUGUUGUCAAAUAAAUGAAUGGAUGAAUGAUGCACUCAUUCUUCAAUGUCCAACGCAAUGCCACCUUCUCCAUGGGACCUUUCUUAAAAGCUACCAUUCGAAAUUGACUUCCUCGGUUCUCUCUUCCUGAGAGAUGAUAUCGAUCCCCUGUAUAACAUUUAACAAAGCGUGCCUGAAAUAUUAAUUUGCAUGCAUCUCUCCAACUGUAGGUGACAAAUAGAUUUUAUUUAUGUGCCAGAUUGGAUUGAUUGGUGGUAAUACUGGAUCACAAUAUUGAAAUGGAGAGCAAGAAUGUCCAGCUCUGUACCAUAAAUGAUUAGUAAUGUCUGCCAUGGGAAAAGGAUUAGAAAAUAAUGAAAUAAGUGCCAUGUGUUUAUCAAUCUACAGUUUGUUAGACUAAAAACUUCUUUAGGACAGAAGUACAUGGCUUUUUCCCCAUUUGUAUCCUACAUGGUGCUGAGAAGAGUGUUUUGUAUCUAAGAUGCAGAUGUCUAAUGUUUGUUGAAUUAAACUUACGUAAUACUGAAUCUAUAGUUGUUGGUUAUCGUAAACCUUGUAUCUGUCCCUCCCUUACUUAUUUUUUUCUUCCUACAUAUUCUAAGAUUUUUUUGAGGAGUUCGCUGAGUACAUGGUUAAUUUCUACUUAUAAUGAACCUCUUGGAAAUGUUUACUUGAAAAUAUUUACAAACUUUUCUUUUCUAGUCUUUAUAUCACAUAAGGAUAUUCAAACUAGUAUAUCUUUCUACAAAAAUAUAAUAGAGUUAGUAACCCAGAGGAGUAUCCUGUUUUACCAACUAGGUUUGGCCAGUCAAACCUACUUAUUUAAAGAUGUAUCUUCC